GCAAGUCGAAUGCCGAUUUAUCGGCAUGGCAGACGGCUGAGUAAUACAUGGGAAUCUACCUCAAACUCGAGAAUAGCCCAUCGAAAGGUGGUGCAAUACUCGAUAGUUCCGUUUACGGUAAAGCUCCGGCGGUUUGAGAUGAGCCCAUGUCCUAUCAGGUUGUUGGUGGGGUAAUUGCCUACCAAGCCUAUGACGGGUAGCUGGUUUGAGAGGAUGAUCAGCCAGACUGGGACUGCGAUACGGCCCAGACUCCUACGGGAGGCAGCAACUAGGAAUCAUGCGCAAUGGACGAAAGUCUGACGCUGCGACGUCGCGUGAGGGAUGAAGGUCUUCGGAUCGUAAACCUCUUUUACCUGGGAACAAGUUCUGAGUGUACCAGAUGAAUAAGUGCCUGCCAACCACGUGCCAGAAGCAUCGGUAAUGCGUGGGGCACGGGCGUUAUCCGGAUUUACUGGGCGUAAAGAGAUGCGUAGGCGCCUUUUUAAGUCACUUGUAAAAUCUCCCCGCUCAACGGGGAAACUGCAAGUGAUACUGAAUUGGUUGAGUCAAGUAGAGGAGAGGGGAAUUCCUGGUGGAGCGGUUAAAUGCGUUGAUAUCAGGAGGAAUACCAAGUGCGAAGGCACCUCUCUGGACUUGUACUGACGCUAAGGCUCGAAAGUGUGGGGAGCAAAACGGAUUAGAUACCCGUGUAGUCCACACUGUAAACGAUCCCUGCUAG
This 718-nucleotide ribosomal RNA is filed under the name uncultured organism. RNAcentral describes it as "bacterial SSU rRNA". It matches the Rfam family "Bacterial small subunit ribosomal RNA", at positions 57 to 819 of the family's 1533-position model. The record is from RNAcentral.